Molecule: ribosomal RNA, 253 nt
Filed under: uncultured bacterium
Lineage: Bacteria
Description: partial 16S ribosomal RNA
Rfam family: Bacterial small subunit ribosomal RNA
Source: RNAcentral
UACGGAGGGAGCUAGCGUUGUUCGGAAUUACUGGGCGUAAAGCGCGCGUAGGCGGCUUUGUAAGUUAGAGGUGAAAGCCCGGGGCUCAACCCCGGAACUGCCUUUAAGACUGCAUCGCUUGAAUCCGGGAGAGGGAUGCGGAAUUCCAGGUGUAGCGGUGAAAUGCGUAGAUAUUGGGAAGAACACCAGUGGCGAAGGCGGUUCUCUGGGACGGUACUGACGCUGAGACGCGAAAGCGUGGGGAGCGAACAGG